RNAcentral lists this unclassified non-coding RNA (250 nucleotides) under plant metagenome. RNAcentral describes it as "partial contains small subunit ribosomal RNA, internal transcribed spacer 1, and 5.8S ribosomal RNA". The record is from RNAcentral.
GUAGGUGGUUCGCCUACCAAACCAGAGAGUCAGCACUGCUGGCUACACUUCUACUGUGCUGGAAACCACUGAUGUGCUACCAGCAGCCCGAGCAAUUGGGUUCACAGGUCAAAUAGACGUGGCCCCUACCUGGGGUUAAGAUAUGAUCGGACUGCACCGUCACCGGCUGCAGAGACUCGGAACCUGCGGAAGGAUCACUAAAGAGAACCUGCCCUCUGGGUAGAUCUCCCACCCUUUGUCUAUUAUACUU